AUUGAACGCUGGCGGCAGGCCUAACACAUGCAAGUCGAACGGUAGCACAGAGAGCUUGCUCUCGGGUGACGAGUGGCGGACGGGUGAGUAACGUCUGGGAAACUGCCCGAUGGAGGGGGAUAACUACUGGAAACAGUAGCUAAUACCGCAUAACGUCGCAAGACCAAAGUGGGGGACCUUCGGGCCUCACACCAUCGGAUGUGCCCAGAUGGGAUUAGCUAGUAGGUGGGGUAGUUGCUCACCUAGGCGACGAUCCCUAGCUGGUCUGAGAGGAUGACCAGCCACACUGGAACUGAGACACGAUCCAGACUCCUACGGAAGGCAGCAGUGGGGAAUAUUGCACAAUGGGCGCAAGCCUGAUGCAGCCAUGCCGCGUGUAUGAAGAAGGCCUUCGGGUUGUAAAGUACUUUCAGCGGGGAGGAAGGCGGUGAAGUUAAUAACUUCACCGAUUGACGUUACCCGCAGAAGAAGCACCGGCUAACUCCGUGCCAGCCGCCGCGGUAA
RNAcentral lists this ribosomal RNA (504 nucleotides) under uncultured bacterium. RNAcentral describes it as "partial 16S ribosomal RNA". It matches the Rfam family "Bacterial small subunit ribosomal RNA", at positions 30 to 523 of the family's 1533-position model. The record is from RNAcentral.